AUGCGGGCAGUUGUAGUUGCAUUUGCAGGACUGGAUCAUCAUGACGUUCUUGGAAAAUGUCUCCCCAUCUUCGCAGCGGAACCGCAUCUUCACAGUCCUGGAACCGCAGUACUUGGGCCGGUAUUUCUUCACACUCAAACAUCCAGCGUAAGUAAACCUGACUGGUUCGGGGGAUUUCUUGGUCUUGCUGCAUUUCUUGC
RNAcentral lists this long non-coding RNA (200 nucleotides) under Homo sapiens (human). RNAcentral describes it as "HSALNT0009843". Lineage: Eukaryota; Metazoa; Chordata; Mammalia; Primates; Hominidae. The record is from RNAcentral.